GAUGAAGAACGUAGUGAAAUGCGAUACUUGGUGUGAAUUGCAGAAUCCCGUGAACCAUCGAGUCUUUGAACGCAAGUUGCGCCCGAAGCCAUUAGGCCGAGGGCACGCCUGCCUGGGCGUCACACGUCGUUGCCCCCCCAUCUACUCCUUCGGGAUUGCGGGGGGCGGAUGAUGGCCUCUCGUGCGCCUCGUCGCGCGGUUGGCCUAAAUGCCAAGUCCUCGGCGACGCACGCCACGACAAUCGGUGGUUGCGAAACCUCGGUUGCCUGUCGUGUGCGGUCGUCGCGCAUCGAGGGCUCGAAAAAAUUGCCGGGCUUCGGCUCGACUUUCAACGCGACCCCAGGUCAGGCGGGGCUACCCGCUGAGUUUAAGCAUAUCAAUAAGCGGGAGGA
This 392-nucleotide unclassified non-coding RNA is filed under the name soil metagenome. Its description in RNAcentral is "partial contains 5.8S ribosomal RNA, internal transcribed spacer 2, and large subunit ribosomal RNA". The stretch from base 1 to 122 matches the Rfam family "5.8S ribosomal RNA", at positions 35 to 154 of the family's 154-position model. The record is from RNAcentral.